UAUAGAUGACAAAAAGGUGAACUUUCAUGGC
Molecule: non-coding RNA, 31 nt
Filed under: Homo sapiens (human)
Lineage: Eukaryota; Metazoa; Chordata; Mammalia; Primates; Hominidae
Source: RNAcentral